CCAACGCCACGGAUCUUUCUUUUCCCGCCCAAUUAGUGACGAAGGCCGUCCUCCCUGUCUUCGAAAUGCGCAAAGGCAUUAAAAGGAGAGUCCUCUCCUGAUUCCCACGGUGGCAUGGAUUGGCAUUUAUCCUCACAUCUUUCCCCGGGAUUUGCAGCGGCGGUUGCCUGGGAGGCAGGGAAGCUGCUGGUUAUCGAAGAGGUGGAGGUGGCUCCGCCGCAGGCCAUGGAGGUCCGCGUGAAGAUCCUCUUCACCUCCCUCUGCCACACCGACGUCUACUUCUGGGAGGCCAAGGUACGGUUUUCCUCUACAAUCUCCCCCAGACGGCGACGCCCAGAAGGUCCCGCGGUCGAUCGGGAUGAUUGACGUGGUCUGGUUUUAGUGUCAUUGCAGGGUCAGACACCCGUAUUCCCCCGAGUUUUGGGCCACGAAGCAGCAGGGUACGCCCUCAUCGCUCAAUUUCCUUAACUUCCUCGGUCUCCUCCCCUAAUCGUCUUCUUCUUUUUCUUCCUCAGUCUCCCCAUAUGGACUUACUUAAAUUUCGCUGUAUGGUGUUGAUGGUGAACAGGAUCGUGGAGAGCGUGGGAGAAAGCGUGAAAGAUCUGCAGCCGGGGAGACCACGUGCUCCCGGUGUUCACGGGAGAGUGUAAGGAAUGCGACCACUGCAAAUCGGAGGAGAGCAACAUCUGCAGCCUGCUGAGGGUCGACCCUGACCGGGGUGUGAUGAUCGGGGACGGGAAGGCGAGGUUCUCCAUCAACGGGAAGCCCAUCUACCACUUUCUCGGCACCUCCACUUUCAGCGAGUACACGGUGGUGCACGUGGGCUGCCUGGCGAAGAUAAACCCGCUGGCCCCCCUGGAAACGGUCUGCGUGCUCAGCUGCGGGAUCUCCACAGGUGCGGCCUAACUCCUCUUCUUCUCGACUUCACUAGUAAAAAAAAUAAAAAAGGUAUAGCCCUGGAUCAUGUUCACACCAUCUUCCUCAUCCUCUAAUUUUCGGAAUUACACACUUUCUUAAUACCACAAAUGUUUUUGUCAAAUUUUUGAAGGUUUCGGCGCAACGGUGAAUGUGUCCAAGCCAAAGAAGGGAUCAUCAGUUGCUGUAUUCGGACUGGGAGCCGUGGGCCUUGCCGUGGGUGUCUCGUUCAUUCUUUCUUUCUCUGUUACACAGAUAAUGACAUCUUAGGAUGGUAACAGGCUGCGGAGGGGGCUAAGGUAUCUGGAGCUUCAAGGAUCAUCGGUGUGGACUUGAAUUCGGACAGAUUCGAGCAAGGUGUGUGUCCAUUCUUUUCAAAUCAAUGGGAUUCGGCACAUGUGAUGGACGACCGAAUUUAAAACAUUUGCAUUGCUGUUAUCACCAGCUAAGAAGUUCGGGGUGACGGAGUUUGUAAACCCAAAAGAUUACGACAGACCCGUUCAAGAGGUUCGGUUUCUAUUUCCCACAAUUUUGCAUUUACGAGUUUAGCAUCGAGCCAUUGACUGGGUUUCUGAAGUGUGAUUCUUGUUGUCUGUGGUGAACAGGUGAUCGCUGAGAUGACCGGCGGCGGAGUAGACCGCAGCGUUGAGUGCACGGGCAACAUCAACGCCAUGAUUUCCGAAUUCGAAUGCGUCCACGAUGUACUUUCCCUGGAUAUCCCUCGAUUGCUGACGCUUCGUAAACGGAAAUCAAUCCUUAUUUCACGAUCUCUAAUCGAAUCUGGUUGACGUCGCGGUCGCAGGGCUGGGGUGUUGCUGUGUUGGUCGGUGUACCACACAGAACUGACGUGCUCCAGACCUCCCCAGUCAAUUUCUUGUAUGAGCGGACCCUCAAGGGCACCUUCUAUGGGAACUACAAGCCUCGCAGUGAUAUUCCUGGUGUGGUGGAGAAGUACCUGAACAAGUUUAGGGAACCCGGUCUCUCCUUGCCGCAUUAUUUGUGAGUGGGGUUGAGUCGUCCAUGGGGUAGGCGUUCGCUAAAAACGUUGGUCUGUUUCUAUGGUUGCUUGACGGUGCAGGAGCUGGAGCUGGAGAAGUUCAUUACCCACGAAGUCCCUUUCUCCGAGAUCAACAAGGCGUUUGAUUUGAUACUCAGAGGAGAAGGCCUCCGCUGCCUCAUCCGAAUGGAACACUGAGUUUCUCUCGUUGUCGGGUCGUAUGAAUUUAGGCUAUACGUUACUAAUGCAAACCGAACCUUCAAAACUCUGAUUUCAAGUUUAUAUUUAGUUUGCAGUGGAGCACAAACUCUGUAUAGAUAGUAAUUUACACUUUCUUACGAACUCUGAGGCCUGUUUUGGUGCUAUGCAUGUUAUGUUAGUUAACCUAGUUCGUGAAUUUUUACGAGUGACUCCGCGUGAACUGUGAAAAUUGAGCUCAGACUGUGAUAAUAGGGACGUUCAGUCCCGGAAUGGCUCUGGAGAUUCACCAAGCAGGAGAGUUAUUUUUCUUGCCGAUCUAAAGGCCUUGGCUCGUUUCAAUUAUCGCCUCACUUCUUUUACCUGUUCCUAAGCCGAUAUGCGCUCUCUGUAACUGAAAUAUAUCUACCUUCGUCUUUCUCUUGUGUCAUAUUGUUCAAAGCUUGAAAACUAAGCUCGUUUUGGCAUAGAGUUCCACGCGCCGUUUCCCUCCGACAUAUAGGAUAGAUGAUGGGUUCCUGGUGUCUUGGAUGCGCUUGUUUGAACGAGCAAACCCUCCUUUCAUCAAACCGGUUGACUUCGAGGUAGGGAUUGAUAAUGAUUUUUCCACAAGAACCAGGUAGGGAAUUCAGACUGAAAUAUUUCGAUGGAGUCAGCAUCCGGUCACAUGAAGAGUCAAUUGCAAGCUGUGGCUCUGACUUUUCGGACGCCCCGCUAAGCGUCAUGUUCUUUAGAAAUGCCCGGUCAGUCAUCACCGCAGUAGUUUUUGUUAGAUAUAGUCGUAAAUGGGCUUAAAAUUUUCGGUUUAUGGGCCUUCUAUACUCCAGGUUGUUAUGGGCUUUCCGUAUUUGGCCAUUUUCAUGUUAUGUUUCUUGUUACAUUAUAUAAUGAUUAUAUGAGGCUUGCCUUUCUGUUGCCUUUCGUUCUUCCGUCGCCUUGUCUAUCUUCUUCGUCCCCUUUCCUUCUCUCUUGUGUAUUGCUCUUCCCCCUCUCUAUAUUUGCCAUUUGUUAACAGUUUUGAUGGUUCACUCUUCCUUUUAACUCUCGGAGGAAGUCUGUGAUUCCUUCUUUCGAUGCGUGAUUAUUAGAUUAUGGAUGCCAAGAACAUGAAAGUCAGUGUUGCGUCUGUUUUUCACUCGAGGAAAAUGAAUACGGAUAUCAAAAUUCCUGGGCUAUCUAUAGGAAAACAUGAAAAAUUGACAUUGCUAAGACUUCGAAUGAUUCCUCUGAAAUUCGAACCCAACAUAAGGUGCUCGGGGGAAGCCUAUCUACAUGCAAUGAAAUGUAGAUAAUCGUUUUGGUUGGCUAUUUACACUUACAUUAUAAAGUUGAUCCAAUCGGUGACGAUUAAAAACACACGGGAAAUAUUUAUUAUUCCAUAUAUUAUAUGCUUUCUAAUUUCGUUUUCCUCGUAGUCUGAGCUUAACUACAAAUCAUAUCUGUUAUUCAGACCGAUAACAUUUCAAAAACUCAGCGAAUCAGGAUGCGCCGCUUGCCCAGUUCCAUCUCCGUCGGCCCAGCAACUGAUUGCUCCACAUUCCUUUUUUUAUAGAUAUUUAUUAGUCAACGCUUCGGAUAAGAUCACAAGCUUCAACGCUGUGACAGCCUGAAAUGGACGCCUACGUCAUUCUCCAACCCCCUACGUUAAAAUAUACCAUGAAGACGGCUCGUGUCGUCUUCUGUGGGGCUCACCACAGACGCCAACGCUACGCGCGAGAGAGAAAGUCGUGGAUCCCGGUUUCACUCCGCGGGACGGCGGUAUUGCAAAUCAGGGAGGCGGCUUCAUCCUGUAGAUCUAUCCACCAUGUUUCUGGUAGUCCGAAGGAUGGCGCGAUGAGCUUGUCCACGAGAAUCGUCGCACGUAAUGACCCAGCUCUCUGGAAGGAAAAAUGGAGGACUAGUUUGGUUGGAGUGUAAUGUUGGGUAUUAGAAAUUUUAGUUUCAAAUGAUCUACAACACCAUCUCUACUAAAAAAAAUACGAUAAAACAGGAUAGGAACACGAUUCGAAAGCAAUUAUGUCGAGCACAUGAUAAGUUUGAGCGCGAUUGAUACAAGAUUAGUUUUCAGAGUUUUAUCAAAAAUGGGUUUCCCAAAAUUGAUACUUGAUGCGAUGGCCAAUGGUGUUAACUUUCUUUCGUACAAAGUCCAUAGAUAUAAAAACCAGAAAAUAAUCAAGUCUGAGAGUUCUGUAUCCUAUCCUUAUGAAUUUUAAUGGAUUUGUCAACACGGAUGAUCCCUUCUAGAGGAAUUGUUCCGUUGAGUAUUCCAGAUGCGACUUUUCGUAUCAAUUAUAUCAAAGCGAUUGAAAUAACAACUCGUACAUCUGCAUCUUACUGACGUCAAAGUAAAACCGGAGUCGAAAUCCAAGACGCUGGAAAUACAACCGAGGCGGACGUAUCGGUCAACCAUACCGUCGGCUGUGAAAUGGGACAACAGCCAAGCCCAAAGUCUCCAAACAAGCCGCCGGAUAAGAUGUUUCCAGCAGCGCAAGCGGUAUUGGAGACUCGAGAAAUCAUGAAAAUCCCGCGGUCUGGCCCCUAUAUAUACUUACUCAGACAUCUCCCUGUCUCUCCAAGUCUGCUGUCGGCCUUGGAUCACUAACGAGAGAGAGAGAGCAGGAGAGAGAGAGAGGCAGAGAGGCAACAACAGAGGGAGGGAAGAUGGCGAGCACAGCUGGUCAGAUCAUCAAAUGCAAAGGUUCGACCUUUCUCCCGUUGGUUAGUGUUUCAUUCUUUUGUUGGCUCGAGAAGACAGAGCCCAGUUUUCCCCCCAUUUUCUGGGGGCACAUAGAUUCUUCCUGUCUUCCGGAAGCCCUGACGGGACGGGAAAUUACCCUUCGUGGGUGGAUGUCCUGCUUAGCCAAAGCUGCAAAUUUAUCCUUACUUCUCUGGCCUGAUGUUGCAGCGGCGGUUGCUUGGGAGCCGGGGAAGCCGCUGGUUAUCGAAGAGGUGGAGGUAGCUCCGCCGCAGGCCAUGGAGGUCCGUGUGAAGAUCCUCUUCACCUCCCUCUGCCACACCGACGUCUACUUCUGGGAGGCCA
RNAcentral lists this long non-coding RNA (5150 nucleotides) under Spirodela polyrhiza (greater duckweed). RNAcentral describes it as "long non-coding RNA (SPOL_LNC002141)". The record is from RNAcentral. Lineage: Eukaryota; Viridiplantae; Streptophyta; Magnoliopsida; Alismatales; Araceae.